RNAcentral lists this ribosomal RNA (253 nucleotides) under uncultured bacterium. RNAcentral's name for it is "partial 16S ribosomal RNA". It matches the Rfam family "Bacterial small subunit ribosomal RNA", at positions 524 to 776 of the family's 1533-position model. The record is from RNAcentral.
UACGGAGGGAGCUAGCGUUAUUCGGAAUUACUGGGCGUAAAGCGCACGUAGGCGGCUUUGUAAGUAAGAGGUGAAAGCCUGGUGCUCAACACCAGAACUGCCUUUUAGACUGCAUCGCUUGAAUCCAGGAGAGGUGAGUGGAAUUCCGAGUGUAGAGGUGAAAUGCGUAAAUAUUCGGAAGAACACCAGUGGCGAAGGCGGCUCACUGGACUGGUAUUGACGCUGAGGUGCGAAAGCGUGGGGAGCAAACAGG